RNAcentral lists this ribosomal RNA (423 nucleotides) under uncultured Pseudoflavonifractor sp. RNAcentral describes it as "bacterial SSU rRNA". It matches the Rfam family "Bacterial small subunit ribosomal RNA", at positions 355 to 794 of the family's 1533-position model. Lineage: Bacteria; Bacillati; Bacillota; Clostridia; Eubacteriales; Oscillospiraceae. The record is from RNAcentral.
UGGGGAAUAUUGGGCAAUGGGCGCAAGCCUGACCCAGCAACGCCGCGUGAAGGAAGAAGGCUUUCGGGUUGUAAACUUCUUUUGUCAGGGACGAGAAGAAGACGGUACCUGACGAAUAAGCCACGGCUAACUACGUGCCAGCAGCCGCGGUAAUACGGAGGAUGCGAGCGUUAUCCGGAUUUAUUGGGUUUAAAGGGUGCGCAGGCGGCGCGCCAAGUCAGCGGUCAAAGUUCCGGGCUCAACCCGGUGUCGCCGUUGAAACUGGCGUGCUCGAGUGCGUGCGAGGAAGGCGGAAUGCGUUGUGUAGCGGUGAAAUGCAUAGAUAUGACGCAGAACUCCGAUUGCGAAGGCAGCUUUCCAGCGCGCUACUGACGCUGAGGCACGAAAGCGUGGGGAUCGAACAGGAUUAGAUACCCUGGUAGU